Molecule: long non-coding RNA, 1112 nt
Organism: Siniperca chuatsi (mandarin fish)
Lineage: Eukaryota; Metazoa; Chordata; Actinopteri; Centrarchiformes; Sinipercidae
Exons: 3
Source: RefSeq, a predicted model, not a curated record
AUUUGGUCACAAACCAAAGUGUUGAUGCUGAUGAUGGCGCUAUGAAAAGUCAGAGGAUCAACAAAGUUAUUACAGUUCAUCCUGAGGGGAACUCGUGUGACCCAAAUUUCAGGGCUCCAUCUAGUAGUUUUCAAGUCCUUUCACACAAAACCUCAUGGGUCUUUUUGUUUGAUCUUUUUGUUUAUACAAGUGUCCUGUUGUCCUCAAGUGAGUGAUUUGUAUUUUGCUUUGUCUUCUUCGUUUGGAUAGCAGCUGCGAAUGAGCUCAGCAGAGUCUCAUUUUCAUGUUUCAGGAGCAGGAAACCUUUCUGCGGCUGCCUUCAGUGUCUGGUUGUUGAUCUGGACCAGUUACAUCAACACGAACGAUCACAACAGGUCAUGGAUUAGGCCGAUGGACUCAAAGAGGAACUGUUGUUUGAUGAUGAAGAGGUCAGAUGACGUCGAAUCUGUGUUGAGUGAUUAGAUCACUGAAAAAUCCUGCACUUUGAUCAGAUGACCUGCAUCAAAGCCUCCUCGUCCUGCAGCGCUUCGGAUCAGCUGCUCAGCAGAUUGUCUUCAUGUCAACACGGCUUAGUCUUCUGCAGCACGCCACAUUUAACCCUCUGUUAACCCCGUCCGCUGCGGCUGCCGCAGGCCUGAAAUCAGACUCAUAAACACGCCAACAGUAUCUUCAGGAAAAUAUGUAUAGAAACAGUUUCCGUUGUAAUAUUCUCUGCUGCAUGUUUGUGAAUUUUAGAGUUUAGAAAGUUGCUUCUCUUCGAUAUUUUGCAUUUGAGACUUGUGCAUUGAUGUUUACAUUCAAGUCAGAAAUGAGUCAGUUUUUGUCAAAUGGAUGGUUGCAUUAGUUCAGGUGGAGCACUGAAGUUGUGUCAACUGGCAUCAGCUUCUUCGUGCACGCUGCACCAUCAGUGGCUCUUUCACAGGCUAUUCCAGAAAUCUCCAAAUUCUACAUAUAAGGCUUGUUAUGAAAACAGCACUCAUUUCUGCAACCUAAUAAAUUGAAUUAAUAAAUAAAAUGAAUGAAAGUUAAAGUACUCAUUCUGCAGUAAAAUGUCUCCUGUGACUGAUUCUGUCUGACAUUAUUAGAUUAUUAAUACUGAAGCAUCAACGUUA